RNAcentral lists this ribosomal RNA (1209 nucleotides) under Rivellia nigroapicalis. Its description in RNAcentral is "partial 16S ribosomal RNA". Lineage: Eukaryota; Metazoa; Arthropoda; Insecta; Diptera; Platystomatidae. The record is from RNAcentral.
UCAAUAUAAAUUGAUUUUAAUAUUUAUUUAUUAAUUUUAGUUUUUAUAUUUAUUAUUUAUUAAAAAUAAUUAUAGUUUAAGAUAUGUUUUAGUAGAUUUUAUUGAAUUAAUUUUUUUUUAUUAUAGUUUAUUAGUACUGUAAAGGAUUGUUGAAAUAAAUUGAAAAAUUUUUAUUUAAAAAGAAAAUUUAUUUUAUUGUACCUUGUGUGUCAGGGUAGAUUAAAAAUUUUAUAGCUAUUAUUAUUAUUCUCGAUUUUAUAAGAGUUAAUUAUAUAUUUAAGUUAAUGUGUCAAAAUUAUUUAUAAUAUAUAAUUAGAAAUGAAAUGUUAUUCGUUUAUAAUGGUAUCUAGUUUUUUUAGAAAUGAAUUUAAUUCAUUGGAUUUUAAUUUUUUAUUUAAUUUUAUUAAAUAAAAAAUUUAUUAUUUAAAAUAUUUAAAGGGAUUAGCUUUUAAAUAAAAUUUUAAAAAUAUUUUUUUAUUAUUAAAAAUGUAUACAUAAAAUUUGUAAUCAUUUAUAAUUUUGUUAUAAAUUAUUAUGUAAUUUAUAAUAUUUAUUAGAUUUUAAAUAUUUAUAAAAAUAUUUCUUUUAAUUGUUAUAAGAAAGUAAUAAUGAUUUAAUUAGUAUAUUUUAUUAGUAUGAAUAAAUAUUUUUGUUAAGUUUAUAUAAAUAAUUCGGCAAAUAAAAAUACUCGCCUGUUUAACAAAAACAUGUCUUUUUGUAAUUAAUUUAAAGUCUGACCUGCCCAAUGAAAUAUUUAAUGGCCGCAGUAUUUUAACUGUGCAAAGGUAGCAUAAUCAUUAGUCUUUUAAUUGAAGGCUGGUAUGAAUGGUUGGACGAAGUAUAAGCUGUUUCAUAAAAAUUUUAUAUAGAAUUUUAUAUUUUAGUUAAAAAGCUAAAAUAGAAUUAAAAGACGAGAAGACCCUAUAAAUCUUUAUAUUUUUAUGAAUUUUAUUUUUAUAGAUUAUUUUUAUUAUUAUUUAUAAAAAUAUUUUGUUGGGGUGAUAUUAAAAUUUAAUUAACUUUUAUUUUUUUUUACAUUGAUUUAUGAUUUAUUGAUCUUUUAUUAAGGGUUAUAAGAUUAAGUUACUUUAGGGAUAACAGCGUAAUUUUUUUGGAGAGUUCAUAUCUAUAAAAGGGAUUGCGACCUCGAUGUUGGAUUAAGAAAAAUAUUUAGGUGUAGCUGCUUAAAAUUAAAGUCUGUUCGACUUU